Molecule: ribosomal RNA, 508 nt
Filed under: uncultured bacterium
Lineage: Bacteria
Description: bacterial SSU rRNA
Rfam family: Bacterial small subunit ribosomal RNA
Source: RNAcentral
AUUGAACGCUGGCGGCAUGCUUUACACAUGCAAGUCGAACGGUAACAGGGAGCUUGCUCCGCUGACGAGUGGCGAACGGGUGAGUAAUGCAUCGGAACGUACCCAGUCGUGGGGGAUAACGUAGCGAAAGUUACGCUAAUACCGCAUACGUCCUGAGGGAGAAAGCGGGGGACCGUAAGGCCUCGCGCGAUUGGAGCGGCCGAUGUCGGAUUAGCUAGUUGGUAGGGUAAAGGCCUACCAAGGCGACGAUCCGUAGCGGGUCUGAGAGGAUGAUCCGCCACACUGGGACUGAGACACGGCCCAGACUCCUACGGGAGGCAGCAGUGGGGAAUUUUGGACAAUGGGCGAAAGCCUGAUCCAGCCAUGCCGCGUGAGUGAAGAAGGCCUUCGGUUGUAAAGCUCUUUCAGACGGAAAGAAAUACGCAUCUUCUAAUACAAAGGUGUGGAUGACGGUACCGUAAGAAGAAGACACCGGCUAACUACGUGCCAGCAGCCGCGGUAAACUCGU